Molecule: ribosomal RNA, 464 nt
Filed under: uncultured bacterium
Lineage: Bacteria
Description: partial 16S ribosomal RNA
Rfam family: Bacterial small subunit ribosomal RNA
Source: RNAcentral
GACGAACGCUGGCGGCGUGCUUAACACAUGCAAGUCGAACGGAAAGGCCCAGCUUGCUGGGUGCUCGAGUGGCGAACGGGUGGGUAACGCGUGGGUGAUCUGCCCCUAACAUCGGGAUAAGCGUGGGAAACUGGGUCGAAUACCGGAUAGGACAAUCGUUUAGUUUCGGUUGUGGAAAGUUUUUUCGGUUAGGGAUGAGCCCGCGGCCUAUCAGCUUGUUGGUGGGGUAAUGGCCUACCAAGGCGUCGACGGGUAACCGGCCUGAGAGGGUGGACGGCCACAUUAGGACUGAGAUACGGCCCAGCCUCCUACGGGAGGCAGCAGUGGAGAAUAUUGCCCAGUGGGCGCAAGCCUGAUGCAGCGACGCCGCGUGGGGGAUGACGGCCUUCGGGUUGUAAACCUCUUUCGACAGGGACGAAGCUUUGGUGACGGUACCUGUAUAAGAAGCACCGGCUAACUACGUG